UACGUAGGUGGCAAGCGUUGUCCGGAUUUAUUGGGUUUAAAGGGUGCGUAGGCGGUCUUUUAAGUCAGUGCUGAAAUACUCCAGCUUAACUGGAGGGGUGGCAUUGAUACUGGAAGACUUGAGUAUAGUCGAGGUAGGCGGAAUUGACGGUGUAGCGGUGAAAUGCUUAGAUAUCGUCAAGAACACCGAUAGUGAAGACAGCUUACUAGGCUAUAACUGACGCUGAGGCACGAAAGUGUGGGGAUCAAACAGGAUUAGAAACCCCCGUAGUCC
This 273-nucleotide ribosomal RNA is filed under the name uncultured bacterium. RNAcentral describes it as "partial 16S ribosomal RNA". It matches the Rfam family "Bacterial small subunit ribosomal RNA", at positions 524 to 796 of the family's 1533-position model. The record is from RNAcentral.